Penaeus vannamei (Pacific white shrimp) is the source of this 429-nucleotide non-coding RNA. NCBI's taxonomy places the organism in Eukaryota, Metazoa, Arthropoda, Malacostraca, Decapoda, Penaeidae. The record is from RefSeq and is a predicted model, not a curated record.
UCUCUACAGGUGUGACGCCCCUGCAAGCAUCCGUCAUCUGGAAGCACUUGCCGGUGGUGAAGGCACUCCUGGCAGCCAAAGCAAACCCAAACAUAGCUGAUAAAGAUGGCUUAAUCACCAUCCACAAGGCUUCUCACUAUGGAUAUAAGGAUAUACUCCAGGAACUUCUAAAAGGAGGAGCCAUGAAGGACCGGCAGGAUAAAUUGGGCAGGACAGCUCUACACCAUGCAGUGUUGACAGAGAAGGUGGUGUCAGUGAACAUACUUCUGGCUGCUUGCUGUAACACCACUCUGAAGACCAAACAAGGAGAAACAGCCCUCAGAAUUGCAGAGAAGAAGCGCAACAGGGCCAUCAUAAACGCCUUGAAAAAUCACCAGGCAUGUACAUAGACAAAUAAUGGUAACAAGGCAUUCCUCUGAGAAAAAAAAA